AUUGAACGCUGGCGGCAGGCCUAACACAUGCAAGUCGAGCGGAUGAAGGGAGCUUGCUCCUGGAUUCAGCGGCGGACGGGUGAGUAAUGCCUAGGAAUCUGCUUGGUAGUGGGGGAUAACGUCCGGAAACGGGCGCUAAUACCGCAUACGUCCUGAGGGAGAAAGUGGGGGAUCUUCGGACCUCACGCUAUCAGAUGAGCCUAGGUCGGAUUAGCUAGUUGGUGGGGUAAAGGCCUACCAAGGCGACGAUCCGUAACUGGUCUGAGAGGAUGAUCAGUCACACUGGAACUGAGACACGGUCCAGACUCCUACGGGAGGCAGCAGUGGGGAAUAUUGGACAAUGGGCGAAAGCCUGAUCCAGCCAUGCCGCGUGUGUGAAGAAGGUCUUCGGAUUGUAAAGCACUUUAAGUUGGGAGGAAGGGCAGUAAGUUAAUACCUUGCUGUUUUGACGUUACCAACAGAAUAAGCACCGGCUAACUUCGCG
Molecule: ribosomal RNA, 484 nt
Filed under: uncultured bacterium
Lineage: Bacteria
Description: partial 16S ribosomal RNA
Rfam family: Bacterial small subunit ribosomal RNA
Source: RNAcentral